AUGCGAAAUUCUGGUGGUAUUUACACCUUUCGAGCACAUGGUCAGAUCUAUCACAGCAUACACUCAUUUGGUAAUAGUCGACCAGAUCCAAAGCAUGUGGAGCUAUACUUCUACGACAAUGAUCCAAGCUUAGAGCAUCGGUACUGCCGUUGCCGCGAGGAAAUGUACGAGCAAGACAAGCAUGUGAUCGGGAUAAUAACCAACAUCCUACGGGAUAACCCAUACUCUCAACAAUUUAGGAGUUUGGGACGAGCCCAAAACCUUGAGGACUACAGACUCGUCUUAAACCCGGACCAAAGAUUGGACCAGAGAACAUACAACGCGCCAAUAAAUUCGGAGGUAGCUGCAGUGUGGAUUGAAGGAAAUAAAAGAAGAGACACUUAUGACAGGAAUGUAAUACUACAUGGAAACUACAAUGAAAAAGAGCACAUUCGAUCAUAUUACGGGUGCUAUGAUCCGUUGUCGUACCCUCUAUUCUUUCCAAGAGCUGAGCUGGGUUGGCAUAGGAAAAUCCCAAAGAGGAAUACAAAAAAGGAAGAUAUUGGUGCUGAUAAUAUCAGUAAUGAUGAUGACCUAGGUAAAAUUUCAUAUACUAUUAUAUUCAAUAUUCAAUUUAACUAA
Molecule: ribosomal RNA, 621 nt
Filed under: Triticum aestivum (bread wheat)
Lineage: Eukaryota; Viridiplantae; Streptophyta; Magnoliopsida; Poales; Poaceae
Description: partial small subunit ribosomal RNA
Source: RNAcentral